AUUGAACGCUGGCGGCAGGCCUAACACAUGCAAGUCGAACGAGUGGCGGACGGGUGAGUAAUGUCUGGGAAACUGCCCGAUGGAGGGGGAUAACUACUGGAAACGGUAGCUAAUACCGCAUACCAUCGGAUGUGCCCAGAUGGGAUUAGCUAGUAGGUGGGGUAACGUCUCACCAAUGUGACGAUCCCUAGCGGGUCUGAGAGGAGUACAGGCCCCCGUGGAACUGGGACACGGUCCUGCCUCCUACGGGCUGCAUCAGUGGGGAUUAUUGCACAAUGGGCGCAAGCCUGAUGCAGCACGGCCGCGUGUAUGAAGAAGCCCUUCGGGUUGUAAACUACUUUCUGCGAGGAGGCGUUACUCGCAGAAGAAGCACCGGCUAACUCCGUGCCAGCAGCCGCGGUAAUAC
This 406-nucleotide ribosomal RNA is filed under the name uncultured bacterium. RNAcentral describes it as "partial 16S ribosomal RNA". It matches the Rfam family "Bacterial small subunit ribosomal RNA", at positions 30 to 526 of the family's 1533-position model. The record is from RNAcentral.